Molecule: long non-coding RNA, 4558 nt
Organism: Lagopus leucura (white-tailed ptarmigan)
Lineage: Eukaryota; Metazoa; Chordata; Aves; Galliformes; Phasianidae
Exons: 3
Source: RefSeq, a predicted model, not a curated record
CUGGCAUGCAGGAUGAUGUACAUAUAUCAGUAACAGCUCAGAAAUCAGCAUUUUGAUUAUGUGAAGUACUUUUUGCCUUCAUUUUCAGUUUCUAAACUUGUUAUGACUCAACAGAAUCAUAACAAAGUUAUGAAGUUGGACAAAGUAAAGGGAAACCAAAACAUCUUCAUUGACUGGCAGCCUUCUGCCAGAAGAUGCUACAAUUGCAGGGUAACUUUGAUGCAAUUGCUCUGAGUUAUCACAUAUUUUACGUAUGUGCAUAUCCAAAAAAGAUGGAAAGAGGCGUUACCUUAGGCUCUCAACAGGACAAGAGGUAAUGGCCUUAAAUUGCAUGGGGGCUGAGGGGAGACAUGUCAGGUUGGAUAUUAGGAAAAAUUUCUUCUCAGAAAGGGUGGUGAUGCACUUGAAGAGGAUGCCAAGAGAGUUGGUAGAGUCACUGCUCCAGGAGAUGCUCAAGAAGCAUGGAGGUAUGGCACUGAGAGACACAGUUUAGUGGGCAAUAUUGGUGGCAGGUGGAUGGUUGGACUAGAUGAUCUUGGAGGUCUUUUACAACUUUAAUGAUCCUGUGAUUCUUAAAAUUAUACAAUUGAUUGUUAAUUUGGGUAUAGGCUGUUCUGGAAGAAAAGAGAUCAGAAAAGGAGCAAAAAUAACCCUUCAAAACUAGAAGAGAAAACCAGCUGAGCACCCUAAAACUCUGAACUUGGAAUUCAUAAGGCAGAUGCAAGUGAUCCCCAGAGGGCAAACGUAAUCGUUGGGAUUCUCAAAAUUCCCUGCCUGUCUGCCACAUCUUUCUCUUUGGGUCUUGCUUAGCUUUCUGCGUUUGAGCCAAUCAGGAAGUUGGCAAAAUAAAGAUCAUUCUGUAAGGGCCCCUUGUAAGGCCCCAUCUGGAGUACUGUGUCCAGUUCUGGGGCCCCCAGCACAAGAAGGAUGUGAAGCUGGUAGGAUGGGUUCAAAAGAGGGCUACAAAGAUGAUCAGAGAAAAAAAAAGUUGAGGGAUUUUGGCUUGUUUAGCUUGGAGAAGAAAGUGUUCAGAGAAGACCUCAUCACGGAUUUCCAAUACUUAAAGGGAGUUUACAAGCAUUAGGGAGACAGACUUUUACGAAGUCAGAAGACAGGACAAUGAGGAAGGGCUUUAAUCUAAAAGAAGGGAGAUGGAGGUUAGAUGUUAGGAAGAGAUUUUUUACUCAGAGGGCAGUGAGACACUGACACAGGCUGUCUGGAGUGGUUGUGGAUGUCCCAUUCCUGCAGACAUUCAAGGCCAUGUUGAAUAGGGCCCUGGGCAACCUGAUCGGGUGGGCGGCAACCUGCCAACAGCAAGUGUUCUGAACAAGAUGAUCUUUAAGGUCCCUUCCAACCUAAGCCAUCUGUGGAUAAAACGAGCCACAUCCUGUCCCUCCCUCUAUACUUUUAUCAUGCUGAGACCUCCAGCUCCCAAAAUGUGGUGCAAGUCACGGGAAGGGCUAGGGGAGUCAAACUCUCUGAAAUUAGAAUUUCAGAUAGUGAGCUGAUGCUUUCUUCCUCAAAAAAUGCAAAAUAACCCAACAAUGCUUCCCAUUAAUUCCCCACAUUCCCAUGUUUUGAAGGCUCACAAAGAAUGAGUUCUGUACUGCUGGCACCCCAGCAGGCUGAGCUUCCAGUUGGGCAGUGGGGCAGGAGCCAAGAGUGCAGAGCAUCUCAGGGCACUGCUACCUGCGCUCCUUCCUGCUGAACCUCUGCCAGCAGCCUCCGCCAGCACAGCAGAGCCAUGGAGGAACUGAACAGCAUGUUUGUAAGCUAAACAGGAAGGGAAGCAUGCCAGACACUUACAUCACCUGACAGAUGUGCUUCUCAAGCAUGCAAGUUUAUUUAAGGCUUUUUCAUGGUGUGUGCUGACCCAAAAUCAAUAAAUAAAUGAAUAAAUAAAUAAAAGGGGGAGGGACAGGGGGAGAAAGGAAGGAAGGAAAGAAAGAGAGAGAGAAUUGGUGUCAUGCUCAACAUGUUUUGCACCCUGUAAAAGGGAAUUAAGUGACUGAAGCUCCCCGCCUCCCUCUUCUUUAUGUCUGGAAGUGAGCCCUUCUGAAACACUAUAGCUACUGGCUGCACAGCCACACAUAAUAACAUGGUAGCAACACAUAAACCUGUCAGUCUUGGAUGGAAAUAGAUGGUUAGGCUGAGGGGGUAAACAGACUAAAUCAAUUUGAACAUGCAUGUUAAGGACUGUGAAAGGGCAGAGUUUAGUGCUGCUAGGCUGGAAAACAUUUGUCUCUGUCUCGUUGUAUUUCCCUGCCAUUCAGCGGCAUCCACCCACAGGCCUCUCGCUUGGCUCCAGUCAGGCUCCACGGCUGAUUAAUGGCAGCUGGAGGUGUCCAGUAAUUUCCUCACCUUAUAAUAAACUACAACCCAAAACAGAGGUUCCCCUCAGGCCCACAUUUAACAUAGCUCUACUUACUACCAGGAGAAAGCCAAUUAUCAUGUGUCUGCUCACGGCUUAAGUGAGCAGGUUUAAGUGGCUUUGAGAGGUUACUUAGCUGACUUUGGGCAUAUCAUCUUUGUCUGUGGCAGAGUAAACAAGGCUCAGAUAACAUCUGCAUCACUCUUGCAAAGGAAUUGUACAAAAAGAAGAAAGCGGGAAGAAAGGGGGAAGAAAGGGGGGCAUCCUCACAACUGGAAUAUAGCCUCCUUUAAAAAAAUCUUAACAGCAAUAUGAUCUUAAAAACAGAUUUUUUUUCUCUAAUUCAAAUCCCAGGGUCACCAAUGCACACAAUUACAAUUUCAGUGUCUGAGGCUUAAGCAAUCAGUCUGGCUCACCACUUCCUACCCAAGGGUGCCCAAUAAAGUGUUUUAUAUGAAGAGACAUCCUUAACAAGAACUUUUCCAGAUUUUGCUAGCAAUUAAAGCAGAGCCUUGUUACUGAAGGAGUGGCAUAGCUUUGUGCCUCAGUAUUGAGUACAAAGGCAGUAUUGUUUACAUGGGCAUCAUUCUGACUACACAGUAUUACCUCUAUAUUUGUAAUGAUAGCUCAACUAUCUACUUGACUAAUAGGAUGGAGGCCUGGCUGUCAACAACUGAUAGCAGUAUUUAGAGCAUGAGAUAAUCUAUCACUCUAAUAAAUAAGAAAAGCUUAACAUAAGAAAAUGCAGUUAAAACCACAGAACUAUUCUGUGUGCACCCAGCAGUGCCACUAAAAUGGAACAAGGCAUCAGCCAACAUAAGAAGAGUUUCUUUUACCGGCAGCUGAUUGCAGUUUCUUUUCCCUAGGAUACAAUGGUGAAGUUGAUGGAACUAAUGAGUGGAAAUUAGGUAUUCUGUGGACAGAAGAGCUUGUAACUUCAUGUGUGAUACAGCACCAUGUGCCGUGUGCGCAUGUGUAUAGCACCAUAUUUGAUGUAAGGAAGAGUAAUGCAACCGAAUGCAGAUUUCUACCUUUCAUGUAUAUAAGUGAAAGAAUAUCAAGGUAGAUGCACAAAGAAUACUGGAAUAAUGUUUGAUUUGUAAUGUGCAGCAAAAAGGUGAAAUAAGUCUGAGUAUACCACUAUUUCAGCACACAGGCUAUAGCAAGCAAUGCAGAUGCCAACAUUCUUGCAGUAGUACUUCCUUUCUAUAGGGACAGGAUAUACACGAUGCCAAAAAAAGGAAUGGUGUUCCAUAUGGUUUGACAGGUCCUGUUAAUACCUGCGGUUCUUAAUCUCUGUCAAAAUGUGAAAAUGAAAAAAAUGCUUCUGUUUAUGUGCCCAAGUGUGCUUUUCUGCAGGAACAAAUCCAAUUAGCAUGUGGACACUGAGGAAAGAUUGUCAGACACAGAGCAUUGCUGUCAAUGUCUGGUCACACAGGCAACUGCUGGCACUAGAGGAUUAAAAGUUUUAUGCCAAAUAAAAAACAAUCUGUUCAGAAACUAGGCAUACCAGAAGCAAGCUCAGAGUGCACAAUGCUGCCCAAGAGAAGGAUAUUUGUUGCUUUGCAGAACUAAACGCACGGCCAACCAGGCCACCCCUCUCCUGGAUUCCUACUUCACCAUGCCAUAUCUUUUUCGGCCAUGACUGUACUUCGCUUAUGAAAAACAGUUAUCUUAAUCCUCCUAAUGUUGCUAUUUCACCUUUGUGAUAGUUGCACUGGUUCUGCUCUUAGGACUCUGAUUAAUUUCCUUUCCCGAGUGAGAUGUCUGUAUGUAUGUCAGAGCACGUUUGGUCCUUUUCAUUCAGGAAUUUUGUUGGGAAACACAGAAUUUCUUUCUCCUGUCAAUUUGUAGUAGCUAUUAUUAUGGAUUUCCAUUUUUUUUUUCACAACACAUGCUGAUGAGACCAUGGGGUGGGCUUUGUGGUCAGUAUUAGUCAAUCUACUUAAAAGAAGAAAAGUGGUAGAGAAAAUGAGCUUUAUAGAGGAUAUGGAACAUUUCAACAGUCUACAGUGUGACAGAGAGCGCACAAAAUACAGCAGAGCUUAUGUGCUGGGCCAAAGUAACUAGUGAAUCCGAGAUAAUAACAGCAAUAUUUCUUGUUAUCAGUGAUAUUCAGAAAAAAUAUUAGAAAGGUUCUGAUUUUAUUGUAUAGAUAGUUAUAUUUCAGUGAACACUUGAAAGACC